CAGUCGCCGCGGUAAUGCGAAGGGUGCAAGCGUUAAUCGGAAUUACUGGGCGUAAAGCGUGCGUAGGCGGUGAGUUAAGUCUGCUGUGAAAUCCCCGGGCUCAACCUGGGAAUGGCAGUGGAUACUGGCUCGCUAGAGUGUGUCAGAGGAUAGUGGAAUUCCCGGUGUAGCGGUGAAAUGCGUAGAGAUCGGGAGGAACAUCAGUGGCGAAGGCGGCCAUCUGGGACAACACUGACGCUGAGGCACGAAAGCGUGGGGAGCAAACAGGAUUAGAGACCCCCGUAGUCCCUGUCUCUUAUAC
This 301-nucleotide ribosomal RNA is filed under the name uncultured bacterium. RNAcentral's name for it is "partial 16S ribosomal RNA". It matches the Rfam family "Bacterial small subunit ribosomal RNA", at positions 509 to 807 of the family's 1533-position model. The record is from RNAcentral.